This 85-nucleotide transfer RNA is filed under the name Actinomycetales bacterium. RNAcentral's name for it is "tRNA-Tyr". It matches the Rfam family "tRNA". Rfam says of the family: Transfer RNA (tRNA) molecules are approximately 80 nucleotides in length. RNAcentral also lists the same sequence under 1 other name. The record is from RNAcentral. Lineage: Bacteria; Bacillati; Actinomycetota; Actinomycetes; Actinomycetales.
GGUAGAUUGCCCGAGCGGCCAAUGGGAGCGGACUGUAAAUCCGCCGGCUCUGCCUUCGAAGGUUCAAAUCCUUCAUCUACCACCA